Molecule: long non-coding RNA, 777 nt
Organism: Gopherus flavomarginatus (Mexican gopher tortoise)
Lineage: Eukaryota; Metazoa; Chordata; Testudines; Testudinidae
Exons: 3
Source: RefSeq, a predicted model, not a curated record
UUUGGGGGGGUGGAGGGCAAAACCUUUUUUUAAAAAAAGGUUUAAACCUAUAAAUAGAGGAACAAAAAACUUAACAAGACUGUUAAAGAAAUAUUGCUAAUACAAGACUUUGACCGUUAUGGGGAGCAACCACAUGGUAAGAAACCUUACUAUAAUUUGCGUGGGUCGUCAAGGUAUUAUACUAGCGUUAUGCUCACUUAAAAGGCAAUAUUUUUUCUUUUAAAUAGGACGAGGCCUUUUUUCUUGACAUUCCAGAUGCCGCGCUACAAGCUUUAAACUUUGAACAAGAUGGAAGUCAAAACCACCCAAUAGUUUUCCUGAAAUUACAGAAGAAGACUCAUCAAGCGUUAUUCCUCAAGAAGAAAUGUUGAAGGUGAGCGCGCUUAAAGAGGCCAAGAAAUUUCCCUUUGAGGCAGCUGCAGUUGGAAGCAAGGGUAUUAAGCACAGCGAUUUUGAACAGCCCUGCGCGUCCAAAUCUCUUAUUGCACAAAACCAGCCGGCACUAAAAAAGGCCAAAAAGUCUACCUCUAAAACAGCAUUCGUUUUCAGGGAGGGGGGGAAAGGGGCUCAGACCCCCCCCCAAGCUUUUGAACCACCCAAAGCUACCUCUACAACUUCCAGGAACCAUGGUAAGCGAGGCAGAGGAGUUAAAGCCCCUAGUUUUCAACAGACCUUUGCCUCCCCGACCCAAAACAAUUAGCUUUAAAAACAAACAACUCUGUGGAAGCAACCAUGUUUACGCGUGGUUUGAGCAGGGUGAAGAAGUUAAUCCCCCCG